UAUGAGAGCAUCACGUCCCGGCCCAACACCAAUGUAGUUGAUAGGGGUACCAACAAGCUCUUCGAUCCUUUCCACGUACUGCCGCGCAGCUUUUGGAAGGUCGGAAUAAUUUCUAAUUUUAGAAAUAUCAGACUUCCAUCCAGGAAGUACUUCAUAUUCAACCUAAAACAUACAAAAACAAAUAAAAUCAUAAGAAAGUACAAUACCAAUUCCCAAGCAAUUACUAUUUGAGACCUUAUUACUUCACAUAAAAUCGAAUAAAAGCACUAAAUUCUGCUUUUGCAGAACUCGGGGGAAGACAUGAAAUAAACCUUCAAUUGCUCUAGAAGACGGAGAUCUGAAGGGAAUGAAUUGACUGUGGCGCCAUCAACAUGCUUAUAAGCAACACCUAACUGUAUUUCAUCGAGAUCUGAUAAAACAUCCAGCUUGGUGAGAUUCAGGGAUGAAAACCCAUUGAUCUGACAGGAGAAUCUUAAUGCAACUAUAUCAAGCCAACCACAGCGUCGAGGACGGCCAGUGGUUGUGCCAAACUCCUGCCCAGCAAAUCUAAGGAGAUCACCUCCUGGACCCAACAUUUCUGUAGGGAAAGGACCUGAACCAACUCUUGUAGUGUAUGCUUUCACCUGCAAAGCCAAAAUAAAUAUUAAGAAAUAAAUUUUUCCGUUGUAAACAUAUGCUUAAAUUGUAGACAUUAUACUUUCCGGAUGCAGGAAAACAAAACAAAAAGAAAACACAAUGCUUCUUCAUACGUAAGACAAUUCAAACAAACGGGAAAAGAUGACCAACAAUUUUAACAAACAUUAAAGAAAAGGUAGAUAUCCACAUACCACUCCUAUUAAAUCACCGAUAGCUCUCGGAGCAAUACCAAGACCAGUGCAAAUCCCACCUGCAGAAGGGCUAGAUGAAGUAACAAAGGGAUAAGUGCCAAAAUCAAUGUCAAGCAUGGUUGCUUGACCUCCUUCAACCAAAAUUUUCUUCUUAUGUGCUAUGGCAUCAUUCAUGACAUGCACAGUAUCAGCAAUGAAGGGUUCCAAUCUUUCGGCAUAUCUCUUGUAAUUUUCAACUUCUUUUUUUAGCACGUCUGGACCAUAUUUGAAAUCUUUGAACCUUGAUGCCGCAUCCGAUAACAAAAGAUCAAGCUUGUGAGGAAAAGUAUCCAUGUGCCUCAAGUCACUUACUCUAAUGCCAUUACGGUUAACCUUGCUGGAGUAGCAUGGUCCAAUGCCUCUCUUAGUUGUUCCAAUGAAUGAUUUAGCAAGCUCAGAUUCUCUCAGCCCAUCCACUGUUUGGUGGAAAUCAAACAACAGGUGAGCUCGAUCAGAUAUCAAUAUCCUUCCCUUGCAAGAAACCCCAUUCGAUUCAAGUCCAUCGAUUUCUUGAAAGAGCCCAGGCAGAUGCACUACAACUCCAUUCCCAAUAACACACAGAGUAUCCUCAUUAAGGAUACCGGAUAGCUCAUUUAUAUAUGAGAGCAUCACGUCCCGGCCCAACACCAAUGUAGUUGAUAGGGGUACCAACAAGCUCUUCGAUCCUUUCCACGUACUGCCGCGCAGCUUUUGGAAGGUCGGAAUAAUUUCUAAUUUUAGAAAUAUCAGACUUCCAUCCAGGAAGUACUUCAUAUUCAACCUAAAACAUACAAAAACAAAUAAAAUCAUAAGAAAGUACAAUACCAAUUCCCAAGCAAUUACUAUUUGAGACCUUAUUACUUCACAUAAAAUCGAAUAAAAGCACUAAAUUCUGCUUUUGCAGAACUCGGGGGAAG
This 1762-nucleotide long non-coding RNA is filed under the name Lupinus angustifolius (narrow-leaved blue lupine). RNAcentral describes it as "long non-coding RNA (LANG_LNC001514)". The record is from RNAcentral. Lineage: Eukaryota; Viridiplantae; Streptophyta; Magnoliopsida; Fabales; Fabaceae.